AAGUCGUAACAAGGUCUCCGUAGGUGAACCUGCGGAGGGAUCAUCAAAGAAAUAAUAAUAUUCUAAACCCCAAGUGUUAGGAAAGGAAGGAAAAAAAGAAGAGUAUAUCUAAUUUUCCUUCUUUUUCUAAUGCUUCAAACAAACGAUCACAACUAAAGAGAAAAUGGUGGAUACUUGGUUUUUUUUUCGAGGGAAAUAAGUGCUUGCCUGAUAAUCUGAUUAUUGGAAUUGGAAAGAGAAACAAAUAUACAACUUUCAACAACGGAUCUCUUGGCUCUCA
This 280-nucleotide unclassified non-coding RNA is filed under the name fungal sp. Its description in RNAcentral is "partial internal transcribed spacer region". The stretch from base 1 to 46 matches the Rfam family "Eukaryotic small subunit ribosomal RNA", at positions 1786 to 1831 of the family's 1831-position model. The record is from RNAcentral. Lineage: Eukaryota; Fungi.